RNAcentral lists this ribosomal RNA (400 nucleotides) under uncultured bacterium. RNAcentral describes it as "bacterial SSU rRNA". It matches the Rfam family "Bacterial small subunit ribosomal RNA", at positions 355 to 756 of the family's 1533-position model. The record is from RNAcentral.
UGAGGAAUAUUGGGCAAUGGGCGAAAGCCUGACCCAGUGAUAGUUUAUGAGUGAGAAAUGGACAGCAAUAUCGCUGUAAAGCUCUUUUAACAAAGACGAUAAUGACUGUAUUUGAAGAAUAAGCACUGGCUAAUUCUGUGCCAGCAGCCGCGGUAACACAGGGAGUGCAAACGUUAUUCAUCAUAAUUGGGUGUAAAGGAUAUGUAGGUUGCUCUGGAAUAGGAUAUUUUAUAAAAUGCUAAAGAAAAUCCUUUAGAAUGAUAAAAUUUACCCAAGAGCUUUGAGUUUAAGAAAAGUUAAGAGAAUUUCUUGUGUAGGGGUAGAAUCCAAACAUAUUAGAACGACUAUCGAAAUAGUUGCGAAAGCACUUUUCAAGCUUAAUACUGACACUGAGAUAUGA